CAAAAACCUGUGCCCAGCCAAAGAGUGCGGAAGGAUGAAAGAUAUGGUUUGAAAAUGCCACGUCACUACCGUCCUCCUCCCUAGCACGGAUCAGUCCGCAUUUGUUAUGGAAUAUGUUGAGCAAACCUGGAGAAGCGUCAGCUCAAGAUAUUAUUGUUGUCAUUGCUGUGGAUCUUUACCUGAUACACUGACUUGGCCGAUCGGGACCAGCACUCCUGCUGUUGGACAGAAAGACAUCAACUUGAGAUAUGACUGCACUGUGCUGUUGCUGGUGACCACAGUUAAUUCUACAAGACAUGCUGUGACAACAGGAGAGAUGAGUCCUCCGUCACAGAUGGUGUGGUCAGUGAAGAUGGUCAUCUGCAGGUUCAAGCUCAUUGCAUCUCCAACCCACAUCCACUGCCACUGUACUUAAGGGAAGUUAAAGACUUUCUUCUGCACCUACAUUUGGAUCACCUCGAUCCAUGACAGUCAUUCAGGCAGUGAUGCCUGGACUGGAAACAAGCAUCCUUAAAAUAAUACAACAUUCCAGCUCAUGUGUUGGAAUGGAAAACAAAUGUGUUGUUUAAAUUAGAGACUGCACUUGUGACAGAACAAUAAAUAUUUUAUUUUGAUUAUAUAAGUAAUGUAAGUACAAAACAAACUUGUUGUAGGCCUAAACUUAUUUUCAGAAUAAUUAAAUCUGAGACUUUGUUUCAUUGUAAGAUUAUAAUUGUUUGUUGUUCAGCAGAACAGUGUCCAGUAUGUUGGCUGUUAUACUUUGUUGUGUUUGAAAAUAAAAGUUGGGCUGAUUUUAACAUCAUU
Long non-coding RNA from Oreochromis aureus, 804 nucleotides. Lineage: Eukaryota; Metazoa; Chordata; Actinopteri; Cichliformes; Cichlidae. The record is from Ensembl.